This 1681-nucleotide ribosomal RNA is filed under the name Fistularia tabacaria (cornetfish). RNAcentral's name for it is "16S ribosomal RNA". It matches the Rfam family "Bacterial large subunit ribosomal RNA". The record is from RNAcentral. Lineage: Eukaryota; Metazoa; Chordata; Actinopteri; Syngnathiformes; Fistulariidae.
CGCACGAUAGCUAGCCCACCACUCAAAUUCAUCAACCCCUCGUUAAUACCCCCCAACACCCUGAUAUGCACAAAACAAACCAUUUACCCCCCUUAGUAUGGGAGACAGAAAAGGACCCAGGAGCCAUAGAGAAAGUACCGCAAGGGAAAGCUGAAAGAGAAAUGAAAUAAAUCGUACCAGCGCAGAGAAGCAGAGAUAAACCCUCGUACCUUUUGCAUCAUGAUUUAGCCAGAACGACUCAAGCAAAAAGCAUUAUAGUUUGAUACCCCGAAACCAAGUGAGCUACUUCAAGGCAGCUUAUUCGUAGAGCAAACCCGUCUCUGUGGCAAAAGAGUGGGAAGAACUUCAAGUAGAGGUGACAGACCUACCGAACUUGGUUAUAGCUGGUUGUCCAAGAAAUGAAUAGAAGUUCAGCCCCAUGCUUUUCUCCGCCACCUGGUUUCACCGCCUCAGACAAAGGGAAGGCAUGGGAGUUAGUCGAAGGGGGUACAGCCCCUUUGAUAAAAAAUACAACUUUGACAGCAGGGUAAAGAUCACACACAGAAAGGCGAGGUGCACUGGUGGGCCUAAAAGCAGCCAUCCUAACAGAAAGCGUUAAAGCUCGAGCAUCAACUUUAGCCCCCGAUCAAGAUAAACAAAUCUUAACCCCCUAGUUAUAUUGGACCGCCCCAUUCAUCAAUGGGGGUGAUUAUGCUAAUAUGAGUAAUAAGAAAGCUAGGACUUUCUCCUGGCACAAGUGUACCUCGGAACGAACUCGCACCGACAUUUAACGGCCCCAAUAGAAGAGGGAAGUGGGCGAUGAGUAAGAUUACCAAGAAGACCCCCCACAGAACAACCGUUGAUCCUACACUGGUGUGCUGAAUAGGAAAGACUAAAAGGGGGAGAAGGAACUCGGCAAACAUAAAAGCCUCGCCUGUUUACCAAAAACAUCGCCUCUUGCAAGAACGAAGAAUAAGAGGUACUGCCUGCCCUGUGACUAUAGGUUUAACGGCCGCGGUAUUUUGACCGUGCGAAGGUAGCGCAAUCACUUGUCUUUUAAAUGAAGACCUGUAUGAAUGGCAAGACGAGGGCUUAACUGUCUCCUCCCCCCAGUCAAUGAAAUUGAUCUUCCCGUGCAGAAGCGGGAAUACGGACAUAAGACGAGAAGACCCUAUGGAGCUUUAGGUGCAGAGCAGCUCGCGUUAAGCAACCCCGAUAACAGACUAAACAAAGCGGACCCUGCUCGGAUGCCUUUGGUUGGGGCGACCGCGGGGAGAUAAAAAACCCCCACGUGGAAUGGGAGCACCCCUCCCAGAACCAAGAGCUACAGCUCUAAGCAACAGAAUUUCUGACCACCCAGAUCCGGUAUAACCGAUCAACGGACCGAGUUACCCUAGGGAUAACAGCGCAAUCCCCUUCUAGAGUCCCUAUCGACAAGGGGGUUUACGACCUCGAUGUUGGAUCAGGACAUCCUAAUGGUGCAGCCGCUAUUAAGGGUUCGUUUGUUCAACGAUUAAAGUCCUACGUGAUCUGAGUUCAGACCGGAGUAAUCCAGGUCAGUUUCUAUCUAUGAAGCAGCUUUCUCCAGUACGAAAGGACCGAGAAAGUGAGGCCCAUGCUGAAGGUACGCCUCCCCCUCACCCAGUGAAACCAACUAAAUUGGACAAGAGGGCGCACUAGCGAACGCCCGAGAUAAGGGCAU